AAUCAACGCUGGCGGCGUGCCUAACACAUGCAAGUCGAACGCGAAAGCCCUUUCGGGGGUAAGUAGAGUGGCGUCCGGGUGAGUAACACGUAGGUAAUCUACCUUCGGGUGGGGAAUAACUCGCCGAAAGGCGAGCUAAUACCGCAUAAUGCAGCGGCACCUAAUGGUGAUUAGUUGUUAAAGCGGGGGAUCGUAAGACCUCGCGCCUGAAGAGGAGCCUGCGGCAGAUUAGCUAGNGGUGAGGUAAUGGCUCACCAAGGCUUCGAUCUGUAGCUGGUCUGAGAGGACGGCCAGCCACACUGGCACUGACACACGGGCCAGACUCCUACGGGAGGCAGCAGUGGGGAAUUUUGGGCAAUGGGCGCAAGCCUGACCCCAGCAACGCCGCGUGAGGGAGGAAAAUCCUUCGGGAUGUAAACCUCACAAGCAAGGGAAGAGAGCUCAGGACCAAAUAAGUCCUGAGUCGAC
This 468-nucleotide ribosomal RNA is filed under the name uncultured bacterium. Its description in RNAcentral is "bacterial SSU rRNA". It matches the Rfam family "Bacterial small subunit ribosomal RNA", at positions 32 to 473 of the family's 1533-position model. The record is from RNAcentral.